AUUACCGGUAAACAGGAAGUAAAUCGACGCACUGAAUCGAGCUUAUCUUUGCAGUAUUCAAUUUCAUUUAAAUAUUUUAAUGCAUUCAUUGGAUGUGCAUUGAAAAGGCUGUCUCGUAUAUUACAAAUUAAACUAGGAUUUAAAGUGGUUAACAAAGACAACGAAGAAAAAAAAAUCUACAGUCGAAUCAACCUCAGUGAGAGACAAUAAAGGUGGAACACUGUUCGCCAAGGUGAAUGCAAACAUUACCACCAACUACCGAUAUUCACAUUGAAUUAUAAAUAAGUAUGAAAGAUUUAGUAGGCGCUGUUGGAAAUCUCAAUUUCGGUUCUUUGGUAUCUGAAGACGAUUUUAAACAGUGUUUUGCUCAUGACUUUAUGUAUGGAGACACAACCCGGAACUGGCCAUCAAAGACACUAUUAAUUUACAGACUUGGAGAAGACGGUCCCUUCGAAUGUGAAGAAAACGAACGCGGUGCCGAUCACGCCGAGAUCGUAUUACUUAAAAAAAUACGCAAUAAGAUAGAAAAUAGGCAGACACGUACCCUAGUCACGAUCUACAUCAGCUACUCACCAUGUUCCAAAUGUUCAGAGAUACUCGGGGGUUUUAUUGGAAAGAACAAGAAAAGGUGUAAAUUAAAGAUUUAUUUCAGCAACUUCUACCUAAUUCUACGUAUUAGCAACGUCCAACUAAUCGGAAAACGACAUAUGGAAGGUUUACAGAACCUUCGGCAGAAAGGUGCUGAGAUACAGCCAGUAAUCGGAGAAGAAAUGUGGAAGAUGUUUCUGAAGGCUAACCGUGUUCCGGAAAAUGACCAAGGCCGAUGGUUGGUUGUGGCCGCUUCGCAGAACAGGCAAGUCAGAGAAAAAGAGGACAAAAAGAUAUUUGACUUACUUUUCCCCGAAACAGAUAAUGAAACAGAUGAUGAUAUUAGUGUACGUUAUAUUUGUUUUGUGAUAUUUACGCUCAUUAUGUAUUUACUGUAUGCACAUAUAAACUAAUAUGUUUAAAUCAUAUGAAACAAGAGAUGUGUUUGUAAGGAACACAAUGCCCCCUACUGCGCCGCUUUGAUUUUUUUUACAUUUGACCUUGAAAGAUGACCUUGACCUUUAACCACUCAUAAUGUGCAACUCCAUGAUAUACACAUGCAUUCCAAAUAUCAAGUUGCUAUCUUCAAUAUUGCAAAAGUUAUGGGCAAUGUUUAAUUUUUCGGACGGACGGACGGACGGAAAGACUGACAGACAGUUCAAAUGCUUUUUGCCAACCUACCGGAGGUAUGGAAAAGACGGAUACACAUUAAAUAUAUUAUACUUCAAAUAUAUUAUAAUCGCAUUCAUUAACAUUGUUCAAAUGUGAGAAAUAUAAUGUUUUUAAAUGUGUAAUUUCAAUUAUUGGAUUAUUUAAUUAAAGUAUACUUUAUUCAAGUUCUUCUUAUCUUGCAAUAUAUUCAUAAAGAUGGUAUGAUGUAGAUGUAGAUGUAGAUUCUAUUUUCCAAAAAAUAGCACUUUGUUUUGGAAUACUUUAGAUUGCUUAAACCGUUUUACAAUAAAUCUUUAUAACAAA
This is a long non-coding RNA of Dreissena polymorpha, 1563 nucleotides long. RefSeq lists it as uncharacterized. The transcript is spliced from 3 exons. NCBI's taxonomy places the organism in Eukaryota, Metazoa, Mollusca, Bivalvia, Myida, Dreissenidae. The record is from RefSeq and is a predicted model, not a curated record.